CUACGGGUUGCUCCAGUGAGGAAUAUUGCACAAUGGGGGGAACUCUGAUGCAGCAACGCCGCGUGGAGGAUGACGCAUUUCGGUGUGUAAACUCCUUUUAUAUGUCAAGAAAAUGACGGUAGCAUAUGAAUAAGCACCGGCUAACUCCGUGCCAGCAGCCGCGGUAAUACGGAGGGUGCAAGCGUUACUCGGAAUCACUGGGCGUAAAGGACGCGUAGGCGGGUUGGAAAGUCAGGUGUGAAAUCCUACAGCUUAACUGUAGAACUGCACUUGAAACUUCUAAUCUAGAGUAUGGGAGGGGGAGAUGGAAUUAGUGGUGUAGGGGUAAAGUCCGUAGAUAUCACUAGGAAUACCUAAAGCGAAGGCGAUCUCCUGGAACAUUACUGACGCUAAGGCGUGAAAGCGUGGGGAGCAAACAGGAUUAGAUACCCUCGUAGUC
RNAcentral lists this ribosomal RNA (439 nucleotides) under uncultured bacterium. RNAcentral describes it as "partial 16S ribosomal RNA". It matches the Rfam family "Bacterial small subunit ribosomal RNA", at positions 339 to 795 of the family's 1533-position model. The record is from RNAcentral.